CCAGAAUAGGCUGCCACAGUCAUACAUGUUUGCAAUACCAUGCCUACGGGAACAAUGAAUGAUGCAAUUCUGGCCAUGUAAAAGAGAAAUCAACACAAGCCAUUUGCUACCGAUCGACAUUUUAUAAAUAGAAGAAAAUGUGUCAACGACUGUGAAAGAUUUGUUUGGAGAGUCUGAUCAUGGCUCAUCUGGAGGGGAGGAGAGUGGUAAAUUACCUGAACAACAAGCUGUCAAUGCCACACAGGCAAGAAAUACUUAUUCUGUUUGUAAGUAGUGAUAUGUUGAUGUGUGCCUUCUUUCCAAACAUAAGUUUUUAAUGGGGCAGAGGAUAGAUAUGCAUAUGCAUGUGCAUUGAAUUUCUUAAAUACACAAUCGAGCACAAAGCACGCAUAACUGCAACAGUGGUUACAAGAGUUGAUUUGUGCUUCCAUAGCUAACCUCCCUGCACUUAGCU
This is a long non-coding RNA of Corticium candelabrum, 454 nucleotides long. RefSeq lists it as uncharacterized. The record is from RefSeq and is a predicted model, not a curated record. Lineage: Eukaryota; Metazoa; Porifera; Homoscleromorpha; Homosclerophorida; Plakinidae. The transcript has 3 exons.